Molecule: ribosomal RNA, 218 nt
Filed under: uncultured bacterium
Lineage: Bacteria
Description: partial 16S ribosomal RNA
Rfam family: Bacterial small subunit ribosomal RNA
Source: RNAcentral
CGUGAGCAACCUGUCUUGAAGACUGGGAUAACAGCGGGAAACCGCUGCUAAUACCGGAUACCCCCAUUGGAUCGCAUGGACCGAUGAGGAAAUGAGUUUUGCUUCAUGAGGGGCUCGCGGCCUAUCAGCUUGUUGGUGAGGUAACGGCUCACCAAGGCUCCGACGGGUAGCUGGUCUGAGAGGACGACCAGCCACAUUGGGACUGAGACACGGCCCAA